ACUCCCCCUCCUCCCCGCGGCGCGCGCGGACCCCAGGCUAGAAGCGGCUCGGCGCGCUCCCCGGACGCUGCCCACCCCGCCUCAAGGGUCAAGCCCGGCCUCUCUCGCUGCUCGCCCCCGACUCCGUCCCUGCGUGCACUCCGCCCACUCCCGUGACUGGGAAGGGUUAAAGCCCAGGUGCGAGGCGGCCGCCUCCUUCUCACCUGGCCGGCCGGGUGCGCGUGCGCAUGCGCAUGUCCGGGGCUCGGCCCUGAGCCUCUGCAAAGGCUUGGACGGUGGCGACAAAGGUGACCGCUGCCACCCGUCCUGAGUGCUCGCUGCGCGCCGAGCACUUAACAGCCCCCUUCGGUCCUCACACUGCCCUCCAAAGUGGGUAUUACCAGCCUCCCCAUUCUAGAGAGAGGAAAAAUGGAGGCCUGGCAAGGAAAGUACAGUAAUGGCUCCAUGUCACACAGCCAGGAAUUGGCUGAGCCAGUGUUGGGAUCUGGGGUUGUCUGAUGCCCAGCCCAAAACCCAUUUCUGCACCUCAGUGACAGCCCCCAGGCCCUGUCCCUCUUUCCGUUCAAGGCUCAAGGCGCUGCCUCUCAGCCGCAGUCUUCAUUCUCUCCCAACAUUCACCAAGACUGGUGGCGUUUUGCUGGUAGAGAGCAUGAUGGAAUGGCACACAGGAC
RNAcentral lists this long non-coding RNA (671 nucleotides) under Homo sapiens (human). Its description in RNAcentral is "non-protein coding lnc-PARN-16:1". The record is from RNAcentral. Lineage: Eukaryota; Metazoa; Chordata; Mammalia; Primates; Hominidae.